RNAcentral lists this non-coding RNA (26 nucleotides) under Rattus norvegicus (Norway rat). Lineage: Eukaryota; Metazoa; Chordata; Mammalia; Rodentia; Muridae. The record is from RNAcentral.
UCCACAUUGCCUUGAUUUUCCUUUCC